GUGACAUGAGCUGCUCGGACCGUGGUGGGAGGGACUCGGAAAUGGUUAGCCCAGCCGCAAGGUUCUGGGCCAGGCCUGUCUGUAGGAGCAUCUCACCUGGCGCUGCCAGGGCUGAGGAACAAGGCUGCAAGGUGAUGAAUGCUGUGAGAGUCAAGCGCCUGCCUUCAGUGUCUGGGGACCGUCUGUGCUUUGAGGACAAUCAGUCCCAGCCCUGCUUGGCAGGCAGGUGGAUUUGUGUUCGGCCUGAGGGUGGCCAUUUAAGGCAGGUUUCACUGUACAUGGUUGAGACAUGUAGACAGCAUGUCAAUUCAGCAGAAGCUCCUUUGCCUAGGUACAGCGGAUCUAUAGACACAGGCUGAACAGGGGACAGCUUUAUUAGACAGUGUGGAUGUGAGCUGAGGUGAAAGGAUGGCACAUCCCUCUCUCCAAGUGGGCAGGCCUGGAAUAAUUCUUGUUUGGGGACCAGCAGUGGCGCAUGAGCAAGCUGUAUUGCACACCCACUGGGGCUCUAGCUAAUCUAGUAUCUGUUUCUCCAGCCAGCACUCAGCACUGCAGGAUCUGCUGCUCGGUGCCACGUCACACUUGGGCAGGGCAUUCCAGCGCUGCCCAAAGCCAACAGCCUAUGCAUCUAAUCGCAGGUGGCAGUCACGCCAGCCUACAGAUAUGCAGCAUGAUGUGGGCAGAUCCCUGCUAAAAACCAGGACUUAAAGUUAAGCUUUCCUCAGCUGGGGCCUUAAGGAUGACUCAAGAUGCCAGGCAAUGGGACUACUCUCAGAAGUAAGAGCUGCAGAUCCAGGACCACAGACUAUGGGGAGGAAGGUCCAGGCUGUGCUCCUGCAAGGAAUCCUGGGUCGCCGGGGAUGAGGACACCACACUCUCCACGGGCUCCUGCUUCACUGGAACUGGAUUGAACCGUCCGGGAGUCAUUAGUUGCCCAUUCCCUAUAGGAGACAGAGACCAAAGAGAAACAUGAAAAAUACACAAAUUAGUGUCAGAAAGAGGCGAUGGAGGCAAAUAAAUGAAUUAAACCACCACCACCAAAUAAUGGGAGAGAAGAAAAAAACCAAGUGGGGGGAAGGGAAGCACGCGGGUUGCUGGUCAGCGUUUAUCGCUGGGCUGACUUGAUGGGUUCUGACGUCCACCCCAGCAUGGAAAUUCUUCAAGUGAUAAUUAUUGCAAAAUUAUGUCAAAGUUGUCCAGGCUACGGGCCCUUUAAAGGAGAAGAGUGGAAGGAGCGUGGGGGAGACCUGAUUCUCUGCACAAACUGUCAUAACUAAUUUGCGGUGCUGCCUCUUAAGCGUUUAUUAAAGACUCUGUUAAUGCUGAGGCAAUGUGGCAGCUUUCGACUGCUAGUCAAGCCCCCUUUCCAUUCCCCAAUCUCGCCGUUGCCUUAGCGACCGCUCCGGCCCUCCACUGAGCAUGCCCAGAAGGAACAUCUGCUGUGUCAGGUCUAUUGAAGCUGACAGCCAAUCAGAUUGGUUCAAACUGCGUGACCUCUCUCCCAUCAAGUUGUCCAGACGAGAAGGGGAAAUAUAUAUAUAUUUUAAAUGAGAAAAAUACAAAAUAUAUAAUUUUUAGAUGAAGGGAAUGAAAAAAAAGGAGGAUGGAAAAAAGAAAAAAAUGGUGGGAAAGAAGUAAGAAAGAAAAAAAUGAAGAGGAGGCUAAAGAAACGGGGGGAAAAGUUGCUGACAGGAACAUGGCCGCUGAGCUUUUUUCCACAAUCCCCAAGUGACUAAAAUAUUAAUUUACCCUCAGGCACUACAGCUGAUGGUGAGCUGUUUCACAGACAGCAAGUGGCAUUUUAUUAAAAAAUAAAGGAAAAUAGUUCUCUCAAUGA
Caretta caretta (loggerhead turtle) is the source of this 1837-nucleotide non-coding RNA. The record is from RefSeq and is a predicted model, not a curated record. NCBI's taxonomy places the organism in Eukaryota, Metazoa, Chordata, Testudines, Cheloniidae.